GACGAACGCUGGCGGCGUGCUUAACACAUGCAAGUCGAACGGAAAGGCCCUGCUUUUGUGGGGUGCUCGAGUGGCGAACGGGUGAGUAACACGUGAGUAACCUGCCCUUGACUUUGGGAUAACUUCAGGAAACUGGGGCUAAUACCGGAUAGGAGCUCCUGCUGCAUGGUGGGGGUUGGAAAGUUUCGGCGGUUGGGGAUGGACUCGCGGCUUAUCAGCUUGUUGGUGGGGUAGUGGCUUACCAAGGCUUUGACGGGUAGCCGGCCUGAGAGGGUGACCGGCCACAUUGGGACUGAGAUACGGCCCAGACUCAUACGGGAGGGAGCAGUGGGGAAUAUUGCACACUGGGCGGAAGCCUGAUGCAGCAACGCCGCGUGCGGGAUGACGGCCUUCGGGUUGUAAACCGCUUUCGCCUGUGACGAAGCGUGAGUGACGGUAAUGGGUAAAGAAGCACCGGCUAACUACGUG
RNAcentral lists this ribosomal RNA (468 nucleotides) under uncultured bacterium. Its description in RNAcentral is "partial 16S ribosomal RNA". It matches the Rfam family "Bacterial small subunit ribosomal RNA", at positions 28 to 507 of the family's 1533-position model. The record is from RNAcentral.